GUUCGCCUCCUCCAGCGGCAGGAUGUGAGCCACCUGCAAGGAGGGACGCCAAUAAGGCAUCCGAUAAGAUAAGUCUUAUAAAAUAUAUAGAUUUAUAAUAAUUAAGACUGAGCUAGCAGAUGAGAAUCCUAGUCAUUGGCCAAGCAGCAUUGUACCUAAUACAAGUUUCUGUGUAUUCAUUUGGGCCUAACUUGGGCGGGUGGCUGACGUAAAGCGCACACGUGGCGGUGGGGCUCGGGUGGCCUUUGGCAGAAAGAUUUAUCGUAACAGCUUUCCUUCAUGAUUUUUAGUGAAAGUGUUUUAUAUAUGUAUCUUGAAAUAAUCAUCUUAAAAUUUAGAAUAAAAUAAAUGCAUGCUACAGAAUGUAGACUGUCUAGAACAUUUACAUAAGUUUUGCUACUAUAUAUGAUUUUCCAUUAUAGUUAUAUGCUUUAGUGACCCAACUAAUAAAGCAAAAAUCACUGGAUUGCUUUUUUAAUUGAAAAUAGAUUUUUUCUCACAUUAUAUAUCAUGAGUACAGUUUCUCUUCCCUCUACUGUUAUUUUUUUUGUUUAAAUUAGAUAUAAAGAAAAAGAGGAGGACACAAGAUGAGACUUAUUGACUAGUUUAUUAUAAGGCCCAGCAGAGUAGGGAGACUAAGAGAGAAGAGGAACAGGGGUAAUGGCUGACUGCCAUGGCCGGUUGCCAUAGAGAGGCAGAGAAAGUGCAUAGGUGGGAGAAGAGAAGAGCAGAGCAAAGAAGAAGCAAAGAGAGCAAAGCAGGAAAGUUGGAACUUUUAAAGGGAAGACUGAGGUUCCACACAUGACCAGAGUCCUCACGCAGGCCGAAUGCAUGGCAGUUGAUGUGGUGAUGACAUAGCAUGUUUUCCUGUGCUUGCCCUGACUGUUGUCAGGGGGCGAGGUCUGUCUCUUAAAGAGGUAGAGCCGAUCAGCAUUAAAGCCUGAACCUUUCAUCUACUCCUCCCAGUUCCUCCCCACCUUACCUCCUGUCCAGAUCCACCCCCUUUUUGUCUCUCAUUAGAAAACAAACAGGCUUCUAAGGGAAUGUGAUAUAAUAUAAUGUGAUUUGAAAAAGAAAAAAAAACUAAUACGUUGGAAUAAGACAAAACAAACAGAAGGAAAAAGAGCCCAAGGAAAAGAGAUCCGCUCAUUUACACACUCAGAAAUCCCAUUAAACACUAAAUUGGAAGCCAUAAUGUAUACACAAAGGACCUAUAAAGAGAGAAAAGGAAAAAAAUAAAAAUAAAACAACAAAAACAACAAGCAAACAAAAGGGAAGCUGCCUCAUAUUAUAUGAAAAGGAACCUGCAAAGAUGCCUUUGAGUUUGUGUUCUGUUGGCCAUCUACUGCUGGGCAUGCAGCCCACCUACCCUUAAGAGGAGUUUGUUUCCCCAGUAAGACUCCCUUGGAGAAAACUAGAUUUUCAUUUCCAAGUAGUUCCUGAUUGGAGAUUGCUUCUGAGUUAGGGAUGGGGUCAUGUCUUCAUGUCUCCUUUCAGCUCUAGGACCCCAUUGAUGCUACUUUUUUGUAGUGAAUUAAUGAGUAACUCUAGACUCAUAAUAUGUCAAUGAAUUAAAUUUGUUUAAUUAUGAGCUUUGACUGCAUAUUUAAAAACUCAAGUAAUUACAAAAAAUACAUACUCAUUUUUUUAUAAGAAAUGUAGGAUUAUUCCAAAAACUAUUACAGUGAAAAGCUGUAUAUAUAAAACACUAGUUGCUUAGAAGCCAAUUUAUUUGGGCUAUUAAUUUAGAGAGGUUGUACUUGUGCUGGCUUGUUUUUAUGUCAACUUGUUAUAGGUUGUAUUUGUAUAUAAUUGUGCAUACACAUACACAAAUACAUACAUUUAUACAUGUAUGUAACAGUAAUAAAGAAAAAGAUGCUAUCGAUUUUAAAAGGGGAACAUGGGAGGAGUUCAAAGUGGGGGAGCUGGGAUGGGCUGAGGGAGGAAAGGGAGGAAGGAAGGUGAUGUAAAUUCUUUUUCAAUUAAAAACGUUUUAAAAUUAUGAAUAUAUAUACAUUUAUACAUACUGAAGUGUUGAUGGAGCUUCUCUUGUCCUGCCAGGUUCCGUGCCCUUCUCAGCCCCAAAUAAACACAUAGAGACUUAUAUUAAUUAUAAAACUGUUGGCCAGUGGCUAGGGCUUCUUAUUGGCUAGCUCUCUCUUGAUUAUUAACCCAUAACUACUAAUCUAUGUAUUUCCAUAUCGUCUUGUCUUACUAGAGAAUGCCCAGACGUUUUACUCCUUGUGUGAUCUAUAUGGCAACUGUUCUGGUGGUCUCCCUUUGCCUACCUUUCCCAGAAUUCUUCUCGUCUCCUAGUCCUGCCUAUCUUCCUGCCUCAUUAGCCAAACAGUGUUUUAUUCAUCAACCAAUAAUAUACAGAAGGACAUUCCCCAUCCAGCUUCCCUUAAAGGAGUUACGAGCCUCUGCUUGUCUCUAGCAAACAGAGCCCACCCGAAAAAAUGUUGCUACCAAGAAGCUGUGCUUGACUUGGUUCUUUUGUUUCUAAAAUCCUCUUUUAAGCUUUUUUACUGGUUUUAUAUGGAAAUUUGUGCAACCCACGUUUGAGCCAUAUAAGCACACCAUGUGAUCCAUCAUAUCUUUAUAGCCCUCCUCGUUUGCCAACUGGAUGCAGAGGAGCCAGCAGAGAAGCCAAGGUCCUAGCAGAUGGUGGAGCCCUAGAUAGGAGAAGUCUUCCUGAACGAUGACCCUGAGGGUGCCUUUAAGCCAAAACCCCUUCUGCAGACUGCAUGACAGCAAAUAUAAGCAGUUCAGCUCUGGCAUUCUGAGGUUUGAGUUUCACAGCUGCUAGCCCCACUCACCUGAGUAAUGGGGAAGAGGAUACACUAUUGGGAAAAACAAAAGUAAAGACAAGCUAGGUAUGGUAGCACAUUCCUUCAAUCGGGAGGCAGAGGCAGGCAGAUAUCUGAGAUCGAGACCAGCCUGGUCUACAGAGCUAUAGGGUGUAUUCUAGGACAGCCAGGGUGACAUAGAGAGAACCUGUCUCAAAAAUGACAGCAACAAAACACAGCAAACACACAAAACAGAACACACACACACACAAAACCCUCUUCUUUAUGCCUUUGCCAAGGCUGCCCCCUUUUUGUUAAAAUGAAACUAGCAUUUCUGACAGAGAGAUGAUGGCUCUUGAUGCUUAUUACUUAUUAGGUAACUAAAGUGCAGCUAUUUUUAGCAGAAAAAAAAUGUUUGUGGGGGGAACAUUGGAGAAACACAGAAAGGAAAAAAGUAAUGACAGAUACAUUUUUUUUUUUUUUUGGUCAUAGGAAAAGAGGGAGGAAACAUAAAAAUAAAUAACAAAGGAACCAAGUAAACCAGCCAGUUAAUAGGAGGACCAGUCCUAAGAGAUUGCUUCUAAGUUAUGUAGUCCUGGAAAUUUCUGCAUGAAUUAGAGCCUAUUACAUGUAUGGAUGAAGCUCAUUAUCUUGUAUGCUAACUUUAAACAUUAAUUAAAUAAUAAUAUGUAAAUGUUCAUAAUAACAUUGUUUUACAUUUAUAAAAUAGUCACAAACCAUAUUGCCUCCAAAAGUCUCCCCUCCAUAUCUUUCAGUGAUCAAUUGCUAUGUAGGUAAUGCUGAGAAAUGCCUUUUAUUAUUAUGAAUGACAUCUGUCAGCUUCAUGUCUUAGUGUAUAAUGUACUUAUUUGAAGACAAGCACACUGGACUUAGAAAAAUGAUUUUUUUAAACAGCUGUUAUUUUAUUUUACAUGUGUAAAUCAAUGUCAACAAUAUUGCUACCUAUCACACUGUUGCACAGGACUUACAAGUUAGGGAUUAGAGAGACAUUAUAGGAAAAUUGGCCUUGAUUAAAUAAUUAUGUUUAGAUAUACAGGUGCAGUGGAAAGGGGGCCUUGGGAGAUGGGUUAGGUAUGGUUAGAAAGACCAGAGGACAGGUUGGUUUAUAUGACUGCUAAGUCCUUUAUACGUUCUCUGUUCCCCAGAACAUUAAAAAUUAAACUCAUAGAAUUUGGAGUGACAUUGAAACUAUGAUAUUAUAUCUGAAGCCAAUAUAUACCUAAAACUAAAUCCAUGAUAGAGUGAGCCUCCCUUCCAAAAAUAAAAUAUCUCCCACUUCUGAGCCUGUGGAGAUGAUCACUGAUGCUUCGGAGUCCAACAGAUCUGGUCUGAAUCCAGCCCCUAUUUACCGAUGACCUGGGCACGUGGCAUGUCCUCUUCAAGGCUCAGCCUCCUCUUCUGGAUAAUGGAGAUGGUCUCAUCUAGCUGCUGUGUGGGAUAAAUAGCACGAGGCCUGGGCCUGGUGCCUAAUACACACUAAAGAAAUCUCUGUGCUGGCUGGUAUUAUCCAUAUCAUUACUACAUUACAGACAAUAGGCUAAUUGCUUAUGGUAGGGUCAUUACUGGAAGGACAAGUACAUCUAUGACGUCUGUAAUGUGAUUUUUAAAGUUCUUUAAAACCCUUUCCUCCUGAAGUCUUUAAAGCAAUUGUAAUAGGAGGUGCACCCUCUGCCCCCUAGUGGUUCCACAGAGUCAGUCAAGAAAAAGAAACAAACCAAAAAAUGAAAUAAAAGUUAUUUGAAACAAAAGAAUUAUACUGUAUGUUUCUGGAGAGCAAUGAUAUAUUCAACACAAGACUGUUUAAUCUCAAAUACUGAACCACUAUUAGGGUUUCUCCCUUGUAUCGCAUUUUAUGUUUAAAUGCUGCCAGCAUCUCCACAGAGCAGUGAGGAAUCUUUAUAGCCUCUAGGCCACAGCUAAAUUCUUUGGCUUCUUCAUGGUAGAAGUGACAUAUCAACACAGGAUUAUAUUCUCUAAGCUUUGAAACUACAAAUAGAAAAGAACUGAUUUUUUAAAAAAAUGCGGCAUGUUCAAGGGCAUCGUUUAUCUCUUUACCUUGGGCAGGGUUUGUUUGUUUUUUGUUGUUGUUGUUUUGUUUUUUGUUAUUCUUUAAACUAAAUAUAUAUUCAUGUAAGAAUGAUAGAACUUGGCCAAUCAAAAUAAGCAAGAACAGUAGAGAGAGAAGGUAUUUCAUGUCAAGGCAGACAGAUGUCUUAGGAUUCUCCAGAACCCGUGUGUGUGUGUGUGUGUGUGUGUGUGUGUGUGUGAGAGAGAGAGAGAGAGAGAGAGAGAGAGAGAGAGAGAGAGAGAGAGAGAGAGAGAGAAGGCUUGUGUCUCAGCUGGUCUUCUGUAGAUGCUGGGAUCUAGAAUUGUAGGCUCCAAUGCCAGUGAAGAAAUGGAUGUGCUAGUAAGGCGAGGGCAAGCCGGCAAGAACAAAAGCUUCCUUCUUCCUUAUGUAGGCUCCCAGCAGAAGGUGUGGCCAGAUUAAAGGCGUCUCUUCCCUCUUCAAAGGUCCAUAUUAGAAGUGGAUCUUCCUACUUCAAAGUAAGCAAAAAUUCUUCACAUUUGUGUCCUCCAUUUUAGUCAAUUCCAGGUGUAGUCAGGUUGACAGCCAAGAACAGCUGUCACAGCUACAAAUCUUUUAGUUUCCUAGUGUUAUCUCAAUCUGUACAAUAAUCCACAAAAUACUUGGUGUUAUUUUAGUUUAACUCAUUAUACUCAUAGGAAACCAUGGCUCAGAGAGCUUAAGUAACUUACUAGAGGUCACACAGCUAACAAGUGAAAGAUUAACCUCUUACCACACUUGCUAAUGUAGGUUUUGGACAAGACAUAAUGUUAUUUAAACUUUGAUUGACGUUGCAAAAAUUGAGAUACAUACUAUGGAGUAAAGUGAGGGUUGUCUGUCAAAAUUAUUUUUAUUUAUUUAUUUUUGGUUUUGUGAGACAAGGUUUCUCUGUGUAGCUGGCUGACCUGCCACUCACUCUGUAGACAAGGCUGGCCUCCAGCUCAUAGAGAUUGGCCUGCCCCUGCCUCCCAAGUGUGGAGAUCAAAGGCAUGCACCACCACAGCCCGGCUGUUAAAAUGUUCUUGUCUGUAGAUGUGCACAAGGGGCUUGCUACUUGAUUUGUCCUCUGACUCCAGAAAGGGAGGGUGGCAGAUAUGAUGUAGAUACAGUCUUAGGCAGGACUGUACUUUCUUCCACUCACUCAUAGUUGUCCAAGAACAUGGUAAUUGAAUGACCCCAUUGGGGUUUCUGUGAAAUCUCAUUAUAAAUAUCAUGUGUUGAGUGUGUGUCAUGUAUAUUAACUCAUUUACACCUCAUAACAGUCCAAGACAGUUUGCACAACUUGUCUGAAGCCACAGGACGUUCACAGUGAGACAGGAUUCAAGGCAGAGACAUCUCUCUUCAGGAACUCAUGUGCACCUGGCCAUGUGGUCGACACUGCCUCUCAGUGUGAUCAGUGUUCCCUCACCAUCUUCUUGGAUGACAGUGGAGAUGUGGGAAAUGUAAGAAAUAACCACAGAGGGUCCCACCAGACCAAAAUAAGUGUGCAUGUGACGUAGGAAAACUUUGCAGACUGCUGGUACAGCAAGUGCAAAGGGCCUGUGGUCAGAGUUCAGAAUUCAAAGAAUAUGGGAGCUAAUAGAGGAAGAGUGGCCACAACAUGCAACACUUAGUUGUUAGAUUGUCAGUGGUGAGAGGACAGAGGCAGGGCACCUCACUGCCACCCUCCACUAUCCCCCUUAGGCAAACCUAGGAAUCUGUGGAUUACUCAGGAUAAAGUAGAGUUGGGUUGUAUGACAAAGAGAAAGACAAGCUUUGAGAAGAGGGUAUAAGCACCCUGGUGGGUAUGGGUGUGGGAUUCUCUGAGUGUCUAGUUAAUUAAAAGGCUUUUUUAUUUUUGACAAUAUUUUCUAUGUAGCUUUGGCAGGCCUGGCACUCACUAUGUAGACCCAGGCUGGCCUUAAACCUCAAAAGAUGUGCCUGCCUCUGCCUCCCAUGUGCUCAAAUUAAAGGUGUGUGCCACCAUGCCUGGUUUAAAAAGCACUUUUAACACAGAGUUUAAUAUGGUCGGCUUAAGGGAAAAUGGCGCUCAGGAAAAAGAAAACAUAUCCAAGUAUGAAUACAGGCUCCUCAAUUAGAGUCUCACUGGAGUCUCAGCAUGUACAUCUCGGUGACUCUUAUCCCAUCUCUAGAAGCUGCUAAGAGUGUUUUUUCCUUUGUCUUUUUGAUAAGUGAGGUUUUAGGGUUGCUCCAGUGGUGUCUUGAAUGUAUUUAUAAUUUAGGAAAUAAAAGCAGGAGCCACUAGGGCUGCACAAAGUGCUUAGGAUGUCCUUUUCCUGCAAAUGGUGUUUCUCUGAAACUUCAGAGAAAACUGAAGGUGUACCACGGGGAGAAGGACAUGAAGCAGCGGCUAAUAGGGCACUCACAGUGCUCAAAGUUUUGCUUUUCGGCUAGUCAGAGACUUCAAGCAGACUCCUAGGUGAGCCACUCUUUUUCCCUAGUCCUGCCCCCUCCCCAAUUCUCCUGUCCUUUUAUCUGACCUAAAUAUCAUGUCUGACGGGAAAUUAAUGGAGGAUUUUGAGCUCCCAAAUAAUCUCACAGAAAGGAGCCUUCUGCGCCAUGAACUCAUUCACACCUUACAGAAGGUCUGUAAGAGAUUUCUUGGUUCCAUAAAGAGGAGGAAGUGGAGAAUUAGAAAAGAGAAAGUCAGAAUGCUGCUCUACGUGAGCGUCUCCCCGGCAACCCCACUCCCAUGACCUCACUCCCAUGACCAUCAAAGGGGUUGUGCUGGGCAGACUGGCACAGGGGAGGCUGAGACCGAAAGUCAAAGCAAGCUUGAAGACAGCAUGAGUGAAUUCCAGGCUAAUCUCAGAAAUGCAGUGAGAUCCAUCUCAAAACAAAAGGGAGAGCAAUGAGGUGUGGCAACCAGGCUCCAAAGGGACACUCAGUGGACCUAAGCCAGUGGUCCUCUCCUGCGGGGCGUAGGUCUGGCCUAUAAAACCAGAUGCAGCAGGGACAGACAGAUGGAGAGCUGCUCCGUAGACAAGGUCAUAAGAAACAGUCUGUUCCUACUUUUGCUGUCUUAUAUGGCUUACUCUGAAGGAAGCCAGUCACGAGGAGUUCAGGCAGCCCCAGGAGAGGCCGAUAGGGAAAGGGCUGAAUGAAGCCAUGACAAUACUGAUUGCCAGUCACAUGGCAGUUACUUUGGGUCUUCCAGCACAGGUUAAUCUUUCAGAUAAUGGCCCCUCAUCAACAUUUUAACACCUUGAAACAUUGUGAUCCAGACAAUUAGGAUUAAGCCACUCCUGAUUUUUACAGACACACAAACUCAGAGACACAAUGUUAACUGUUGCUGAAGUUACUUGAGGUAAUUAGUGGCAUGGAAAGUUAACUGAUACAGUAUGCUUAUUUUUUUUAAAUGAGAAACCCCUCUUACAAAUGUUUUUAAUUUUUUUUUGUGUGUGUGUGGGGGGGGAUGGGUGUUUCUGUGAAACCACGUGUGUGCAGUACCGCGGCGGCGGCCAGAAGAGGGCACAAGAUCCCACGGAACUAGAGUAACUUGGUUUUAAGUAGCCACCACUGGGAAUUGAGCCCAGGUCUGCGGGAAGAGCAGCCAGUGUGCUUAACUGCUGAGCUAUCUCCUCAGACCUUACACACUAUAAUUUUGUAAAGCAAUUGCCCCUGACACUAUUGGAUCCAAACAGUAUGUAGACUGGAAAUAUUAAACCCAAAGUGUGAUAGCUUCCUGCCUUGACUUCCCUUAAGUAACUGGGCAUUUUCUAGAAUUACUGAAUUCUCUAACGAUAAUCAACUGUAAAUGGAACAUCAGUUUGCACCCACGAAGUUUAUUCUUCACUAACAUCAUAUGGAGAUAUAAUUCAGUGUGGCUACUUACUUAACUGCCUAUACUCACUACAGGGCAUCUCUUCCAGAACCAGGAGAACCUACAAACCUACUCUGUGCUGGUCCAAUUCAAAUAGUUGUCAUCAUUGUCUUUGCAUCACUUAAAUCAUCUCCUUUCCCUUGGGCCAUCUGUCUAGGAAUAGCUGCUACUCAUGUCAGAUUGAGACUUUAAAUUUGGUGUCUAUCGCCCUGGCUUUCAUCUUGCUUGCUGGACAAUUACAGUAACAUACCAAACUAAUCUUGAGCUACCAAAGCCCUGCAACUUCAGGGAUUAUUGAGUAAACAAAAAUGGGCAAAUCUUUGUUUACUAACCUAAAUUAGGGAUUCAUCUGAAAAGAUCUCUGAACUUUCAGGUUUUUCUCUGGAAAACCGCUACGACUUAAAUACUUUACGCACGAGUGGGAGCUCUGUAAAAUAUUUAACAAGCUUUUUACAAGUUAAAUUUGAAAGUCAAUCUCAUAAAUUUAGGAUGACCCUGCCUUGUGCCUUCCCACAUCUCUGUAGGAGAGGAGACUAUGGCAAUUCAUCUUUUCAGUCUUGGCUUAAAGAGCUGUGAGACUGGCAAGUAGCUGCACCCUGUUGUGAGGACAUAUGGCCAGCGCUUCUCCAGCUGAGCUCCGCUUCCUGCUUCAGAAGUCUCCCUGUGCCACUAAGUAGGAGAUGUGAAAAAACUUCCCUUGAAAGCAUGAAGAUGCAAAACACUUUCCCCUUUGACUAUAAAGAUCAGGCAGUUUGCUACUCUGCCUGUUAGGUCAGCUCCUUUCUCUAAUUUACCUGGAAUUGUGAGCACAUACCCAAAAAAUGUCAUUUAAUACACAUGGCGGGAAAUGUCCAUGUUUUUGGUUCAUGCCUUAUGAGAAAAAACCCUGGAGUUAGGUUCUCGAGUGCUGGAUGGAGUUCUGACUCCUGAAGUACACUAUUACACAAGUGUGCUAAAUAUUGCAAACCUGCUGCUCUGACUCAGCAGGCCGCCUGCAGGGCCUGAUCCCUUCAACACUGGAUACAGCAGGCCCUCUGCACCUGCAGGUCCCACGUCUGUAGAUUAAAACCAUCCAUCAAAAAUAUUCAAGCAAGGCCUGGGAGGACCCAGGUUCAGAUCCCUAGCAUCCCUCCAACACUGGAGGCUGUCCAUGCUCCUGUACUUCUAGAGCUGACAGGACAGACAUGGGAGGCACUAGGGCCUGCGGACCCUCUAGUCUAGCAAAUCAGUGACCUCCACUUUCAGUGAGAGACCCUGACUCAAAAAUUUAAAAGGUGGAGAUAUUGAGGAAGACCCCUGACUUGGACCUUUGAGCUCCACACAUAGACAUGUGUGUAGGGGAACCUGUAUGCAAAGUUUGGAAAUUUGAAAUAUGUGCAUCAUACUAUAGACACAUUCUCAGGGUUCCAAUGGGCUACUGCUCUUAACUCUGAAAAAGCUGAUUCUGUUAUUACACACCUGCUAGAGGUGAUGCAGUUAUGAGUAUACCUGCACAAAUAAAAACUGACAAUGCUCCAGCAUAUGUCUCUACAAAAUUGGAACAAUUUUUCAAAUAUUAUAACAUAAAGCAUGUUACCGGUAUACCACACAAUCCUACAGGACAAGCAGUGGUUGAGAGAUCUAACAGAACUAAAGGAGAUGCUCAACAAACAAGCUUGGAAGACUAAACCCCCCAAACAUAGGUUGCAUAAUGCUUUAUUAACACUAAACUUUCUUAAUGCCAAUGAGAAAGGACAAACAGCUGCAGAAAGACACUGGACUAUGGAGAAAACUGCUGAACUCAAUCAGCUGGUAUACUUCAAAGAUGUACUAACCUCUGUAUGGAAACCAGGACAUGUGUUACGUUGGGGUAGGAGUUUUGCAUUGGUUUCUACAGGAGAAGAAAAACUUUGGAUACCAUCAAAGUUGAUCAAGAUUCGAGUGGAAAGGGAAAAACCUCUCGACGAGGACAGGUAUUCUACUAAGGUAUAUCUCAUAAACUAAAUAGAAACCUCCCAAAGGAAAGGGAAGUGUUUUGCUUUUAUCUUCACAGGAAAACUCAUCUCCAGAAGGCAAAGGACACUGCAUGGAUAGAUGCUUAAGAAGAAAAAGUAGCUAUAACCAUCAAACAAAAGGAAUGUGCCAUAUGUCCCACACAGCCAAUGAAGACCUGCCUGACAGCAAUACCUGGACACCCCAGAAAGAAAAUGGGCUACAGCUCCUCGACUGCACUGGAUCCAACUUGCUCCAUUUCAACUGGCACUCCUACCAGAGGUUCAGGUACUGACUUUAAUCAAGUUGAGGAUUUCAAGCAAGAUCUUCAAUCAAGCAAAUCCCAUCUAACAUGGACUGGAUACAAUUCAAGACUUUUACUAUACUAACAUUUUCUUCCUACAGGACCCACAAGGAUGUCAUCAUCCCAUUUCAGCAGGAAGUAACUUGGAGAAUGCUAAGUCCCCUUUCCCCAUUGUUGCCACUUAGGAUAGUGUAUAUACCUAGUUAGAGAUAGCUUCUUAUUAUUUAUGGUUGGGAUUGGAAGGAGGUGUUCAGGCUUGGACACCUCUUUCAGAACACUUUAGGGUUUAGUUAAAAUAGAUAGUUAGGAUGUGACAUAAGCAGAUUGUUGUAUCUUCUUAUAUUUUACCUUUAUGAUUAUUAAUUUUGGAUACUUUACACUGUUAAGUUUUAAUCCUCUUUUAGACUAAAAGGGGAAUUGUAGGGGAACCUGUAGCCACACCUGCUUAGGGGCUAGCUACAGGUCUGCCUGACCACGCCUGCGAGGGCGUGGUCAGGGUGAUGUAGAGUGAGAGGGUCAGGGCUGCGUUUCACUUUUGUUUUCCCUUUCUGGCUUGCUGGACAGACUGCUGCCACGCCGGCUGGCUAGGUCGCUCUGUAAGUAAGGCUUUUCCCCAUUAAAAACCCUUAUAUUUCUACCUGACUCCGUAUUGGUAAUUUCCC
RNAcentral lists this long non-coding RNA (11635 nucleotides) under Cricetulus griseus (Chinese hamster). RNAcentral's name for it is "lncRNA (ENSCGRG00015040494.1)". Lineage: Eukaryota; Metazoa; Chordata; Mammalia; Rodentia; Cricetidae. The record is from RNAcentral.